ACGACGCUGGCGGCGUGCCUAAUACACGCAAGUCGAACGGUCUUUCUAUGGAAGCUUGCUUCCACUGAGAAGAUAGUGGCGAACGGGUGAGUAACACGUGGGUAACCUGCCCAUAAGAGGGGGAGUAACAUCCGGAAACGGGUGCUAAUACCGCAUAGUUUUCUUGAUCGCAUGAUCGGGAAAGGAAAGACGGCCUUUGUGCUGUCGCUUAUGGAUGGACCCGCGGCGUAUUAGUUAGUUGGUGAGGUAACGGCUCACCAAGACGAUGAUACGUAGCCGACCUGAGAGGGUGAUCGGCCACAUUGGGACUGAGACACGGCCCAAACUCCUACGGGAGGCAGCAGUAGGGAAUCUUCCGCAAUGGACGAAAGUCUGACGGAGCAACGCCGCGUGAGUGAAGAAAGGUUUUCGGAUCGUAAAACUCUGUUGUCAGAGAAGAACAAGUUGGAGAGUAACUGCUCCAGCCUUGACGGUAUCUGACCAGAAAGCCACGGCUAACUACGUGCCAGCAGCCGC
RNAcentral lists this ribosomal RNA (516 nucleotides) under uncultured bacterium. RNAcentral describes it as "bacterial SSU rRNA". It matches the Rfam family "Bacterial small subunit ribosomal RNA", at positions 32 to 518 of the family's 1533-position model. The record is from RNAcentral.